Molecule: non-coding RNA, 47 nt
Organism: Bacteroides fluxus YIT 12057
Lineage: Bacteria; Pseudomonadati; Bacteroidota; Bacteroidia; Bacteroidales; Bacteroidaceae
Source: Rfam
GUUGUGAUUUGCCUUCAUUUUAGUAUCUUUGAACCAUUGGAAACAGU